Molecule: non-coding RNA, 181 nt
Filed under: Bacillus testis
Lineage: Bacteria; Bacillati; Bacillota; Bacilli; Caryophanales; Bacillaceae
Description: 6S / SsrS RNA
Rfam family: 6S / SsrS RNA
About the family: E. coli 6S RNA was the first non coding RNA to be sequenced, but its function was unknown until recently.
Source: RNAcentral
GUCCUGAUGUGUACGUUGCUUACACCUAUAAGUUUUGACCGAACACUUAUAGUUACGGGAGCCCAAGUUUCACUGCCGCGUAAAUGCCUCGUGGGUGUGGACUUACAGAAGCAGUGGACAGGGCACCCACCUGCGGAGAGCGGGUUCAAAACGAAGGCGAUAAACGGCACGAUCGGGACUU